Molecule: ribosomal RNA, 490 nt
Filed under: uncultured bacterium
Lineage: Bacteria
Description: partial 16S ribosomal RNA
Rfam family: Bacterial small subunit ribosomal RNA
Source: RNAcentral
AUUGAACGCUGGCGGCAGGCCUAACACAUGCAAGUCGAACGGUAACAGGAAACAGCUUGCUGUUUCGCUGACGAGUGGCGGACGGGUGAGUAAUGUCUGGGAAACUGCCUGAUGGAGGGGGAUAACUACUGGAAACGGUAGCUAAUACCGCAUAACGUCGCAAGACCAAAGAGGGGGACCUUCGGGCCUCUUGCCAUCGGAUGUGCCCAGAUGGGAUUAGCUAGUAGGUGGGGUAACGGCUCACCUAGGCGACGAUCCCUAGCUGGUCUGAGAGGGUGACAGGACACACUGGAACUGAGAAACGGCCCAGACACCGACGGGAGGCAGCAGUGGGGAAUAUUGCGCAAUGGGCGAAAGCCUGAUGGAGCAAAGCCGCGUGAAUGAAGAAGGAGUUCGGGUUGUAAAGUACUGUAGGCGGGGAUGAAGGGAGUAAAGUUAAUAACUUAUGUAAUUGACGGUACCCGCAGAAGAAGCACCGGCUAACUCCGUG